Long non-coding RNA from Cotesia glomerata, 616 nucleotides. RefSeq lists it as uncharacterized. NCBI's taxonomy places the organism in Eukaryota, Metazoa, Arthropoda, Insecta, Hymenoptera, Braconidae. The transcript is spliced from 3 exons. The record is from RefSeq and is a predicted model, not a curated record.
UGAAAUUGACAAGAGUCCGAAGGUUAAACGUAAAAAAUUAUUUGAUGACAGUAAGGUUAGUUUUACAAAUGAUAGUUUAUGAAUCGUAUUAAUUAUCUAUCUAAAUCCAAUAUUUAUUAUCGAGUUCAGAAGAGAUUGAAAUUCUAAAUAAUGGAAAAUCAAAGACUACUGAAUCAUUAUCUCCUCCCAGUGUUAAUGACGGCGAAUUUAAAGAUUCAGAUGUUGAAAUAAUUAAAGGCAAGGAUGUAAAACCAUCAGGUACAUCUGAAUUUGUAACUAAACAAGAACUAUCAGAAGCUAUUACAAUGGCAGUUAAUAAAAUUCUGUCAGCAAUGCCAUCAACAUCAUCAGCUACCUCAACACUGCGUGCUAAUCCGUCAAAAACUAAACAUACACAAAAAAAGAAAAAUGAUAUGGUUGAAUCAGGUGAACCAGGAAGAAACAUUUUUGUUACGGCUGAUCAGUAGAGAGCAGCGGAAUCGGCAACUACGUUUACAGCAAUGACUACAUCAUUGUUGGUUUCAGUGUUUUCAACUGAUGAGCUCAUUAAAUGUAACUACAAAGGUGGAGCACCUAAAAAUUCUAAAGAUAAGUCGAUUGUACACUCUAGAUUAGA